This 253-nucleotide unclassified non-coding RNA is filed under the name uncultured fungus. RNAcentral's name for it is "partial contains 5.8S ribosomal RNA, internal transcribed spacer 2, and large subunit ribosomal RNA". Lineage: Eukaryota; Fungi. The record is from RNAcentral.
AACGCACAUUGCGCCCCUUGGUAUUCCAUGGGGCAUGCCUGUUCGAGCGUCAUCUACACCCUCAAGCUCUGCUUGGUGUUGGGCGUCUGUCCCGCCUCCGCGCGCGGACUCGCCCCAAAUCCAUUGGCAGCGACCCUCGCCCCCUCCCGCGCAGCACAUUGCGCUUCUCGAGGGCGGCUCCGGGCCCGCGACCCAUCGAAGAUGACCACCGUCUUUUGACCUCGGAUCAGGUAGGGAUACCCGCUGAACUUAA